Chinchilla lanigera (long-tailed chinchilla) is the source of this 465-nucleotide long non-coding RNA. RefSeq lists it as uncharacterized. The record is from RefSeq and is a predicted model, not a curated record. The transcript has 3 exons. Lineage: Eukaryota; Metazoa; Chordata; Mammalia; Rodentia; Chinchillidae.
CUGCGUCGCCCGGGCUUAAAAAGUACUCGAGGCCGAGGGGUGCCGCCGGGACCAAUCACAGCCGAGAGCUGCGAAGAUGUACAAGAAAUAGUACAGGCAAGAAGGUGUGACCUUGAAAUAGUGAUUUUUGCGCAUUGAGACCUCUGUCUUCUCAUCUGUAAAAUGAAGGGGUUGGAUCAGGGAACCGCCCAAACUCCAGCUACAGAAGGCCAACUCGAUUAACCUGAGUCAAUCAGUAAAUGGAUUCCCAGAAUCAUAGAGACUUACAGUGCUUACCUUCUCCUUCCAAGCAUUAAGAAGAUUACACUUUCCCACAGCCGCCCCAGACAGCCCCUCCCGUGCAGUUGGGCUGGACCACGUGACUAGUUACAGGCACUAGUCUAUAGCAAGUUGUGGGUAGACGUGAGUGUCUUUACAAGGUGUGAUAAAAAUACAGGAAAUGCUGCUGUCAAGUGCGAUCCAACA